Molecule: long non-coding RNA, 181 nt
Organism: Myotis davidii
Lineage: Eukaryota; Metazoa; Chordata; Mammalia; Chiroptera; Vespertilionidae
Exons: 3
Source: RefSeq, a predicted model, not a curated record
CCUGAGCUCUAGUGAGUUGCAGAGUUGUUAGGCAGCUGGAGUAGGAGUGGAAAGGCCAUGAAAUGUCCACAGUCCUGGCUGUGCCCACGGCCUGGGCUGCUCCUCCAGGCCCUGGCUGAGGGAUUAGGGCUGAUUCUCUCGGGAAGGGAAUAUUCCAUGGGUGGAAGAUUUACGGGCUCAG